GAUUGAACGCUGGCGGCAGGCCUAACACAUGCAAGUCGAGCGGAUGASRGGAGCUUGCUCCUUGAUUCAGCGGCGGACGGGUGAGUAAUGCCUAGGAAUCUGCCUGGUAGUGGGGGACAACGUUUCGAAAGGAACGCUAAUACCGCAUACGUCCUACGGGAGAAAGCAGGGGACCUUCGGGCCUUGCGCUAUCAGAUGAGCCUAGGUCGGAUUAGCUAGUAGGUGAGGUAAUGGCUCACCUAGGCGACGAUCCGUAACUGGUCUGAGAGGAUGAUCAGUCACACUGGAACUGAGACACGGUCCAGACUCCUACGGGAGGCAGCAGUGGGGAAUAUUGGACAAUGGGCGAAAGCCUGAUCCAGCCAUGCCGCGUGUGUGAAGAAGGUCUUCGGAUUGUAAAGCACUUUAAGUUGGGAGGAAGGGUUGUACGUUAAUACCGUGCAAUUUUGACGUUACCGACAGAAUAAGCACCGGCUAACUCU
Molecule: ribosomal RNA, 482 nt
Filed under: Pseudomonas sp. 'ARUP UnID 541'
Lineage: Bacteria; Pseudomonadati; Pseudomonadota; Gammaproteobacteria; Pseudomonadales; Pseudomonadaceae
Description: bacterial SSU rRNA
Rfam family: Bacterial small subunit ribosomal RNA
Source: RNAcentral